UGCCAGUUUCGAGCAAGCCCA
This 21-nucleotide non-coding RNA is filed under the name Caenorhabditis elegans. The record is from RNAcentral. Lineage: Eukaryota; Metazoa; Nematoda; Chromadorea; Rhabditida; Rhabditidae.